AUAAAACAAUAAAAAUUAAUAUUGUUUUUCCUCCUUGCAGCCAAGCUCUCAGCAGAAAUACGUAGGCUCACAGCUCUGCUUGGGGACCGAGACAAACAGCUUCGGAAACUAACUGCAGAACUUGGUAAGUAAUUUUCUUUCCCAUGUGCAUUUUGAUCUCGUUGGGAAGUAGAUGAGUGAAUGAGGGGUCAAGUUUGUAAUACGUUUUGGUGUAAUUACAGCAGAUGUCUCUAAGCAUUGCUGAUGU
Molecule: long non-coding RNA, 247 nt
Filed under: Anas platyrhynchos (mallard)
Lineage: Eukaryota; Metazoa; Chordata; Aves; Anseriformes; Anatidae
Description: lncRNA (ENSAPLG00020009249.1)
Source: RNAcentral